GACGAACGCUGGCGGCGUGCUUAACACAUGCAAGUCGAACGGAAAGGCCCCUUCGGGGGUACUCGAGUGGCGAACAGGUGAGUAACACGUGAGUAACCUGCCCUUGACUUCGGGAUAACUUCAGGAAACUGGGGCUAAUACCGGAUAGGAAUCCUUGCUGCAUGGUGGGGGUUGGAAAGCUUCGGGGGUUUUGGAUGGACUCGCGGCUUAUCAGCUUGUUGGUGGGGUAGUGGCUUACCAAGGCUUUGACGGGUAGCCGGCCUGAGAGGGCGACCGGCCACAUUGGGACUGAGAUACGGCCCAGACUCCUACGGGAGGCAGCAGUGGGGAAUAAUGGACAAUGGGGGGAAGCCUGAUGCAGCAACGCCGCGUGGGGGAUGACGGCCUUCGGGUUGUAAACCGCUUUCAGCAGGGGCGAAGCUUGUGGUGACGGUACCUGCAGAAGAAGCACCGGCUAACUACGUG
This 465-nucleotide ribosomal RNA is filed under the name uncultured bacterium. RNAcentral's name for it is "partial 16S ribosomal RNA". It matches the Rfam family "Bacterial small subunit ribosomal RNA", at positions 28 to 507 of the family's 1533-position model. The record is from RNAcentral.